Molecule: long non-coding RNA, 1151 nt
Organism: Mus musculus (house mouse)
Lineage: Eukaryota; Metazoa; Chordata; Mammalia; Rodentia; Muridae
Product: predicted gene, 30668
Exons: 3
Source: RefSeq, a predicted model, not a curated record
GGCUACAAGAGCAUCAUAAGCUUGCGGUUGGAUAAAUGCCUCCUCUGGGCAUCCUCUGGAGGUUGGAGGUCUAGGGGAAGGAAAAUGAACCUCAGAGAGAUCACCUGUCUAAAGAGGCAAAGUCAUGACCAGUACAGGCCUGGUAAUGUACCAUUUCUGGUGCUUGCAGGCGGACAUCUGUAGAUUCAGAUCUGAACCUGGAACCUGGGUAAGCUUCAGGAAUCUGCCUGUCUCUGCCCUUCCCUUCCCCCAUGCUGGGACUGCGGUGCUCUGACACCAUACCUGGCUUAUUUUUAUAUGUGUGCUAAGCAUUCAACUCAUGCCCUCAUGCUUCCAAAGACAGCUUGUUAUCUGCUGGGCCAUGUCCUGGGCCUCUUCUUCUCCAGUUGUUUCACUUGGUGUUUGUUACAGUGACACCAAGUCCAGGGUACUCUCCCUGAAGUAAACAUUUUUAGUCGUUUUCUAUUUGGCACCAUCUUCUGGAAUUGAAGUGCAAGGGAGGAGUCUGUUCUCUGAACAGGGACAGGGUAGCCUUCUGACAAGACAAUGCAAACAGAAGGUUGUGUGUUACUCUUAGCAGCUGGGUGACCUCAUUUCACAGCUCCCGACUUCACUUCAGAGAGUGGCCUUAGGGUUUUGAUGAUCCCCAAAUGCCUCUGAAACUUCAAGGUGGCAAUCUCUGACAACCUUGGACACCAGAAAAUAAGAUUAUGUCCUUGGCAUCCAGACAUUUCCCCAGAAAGUCCUCUCUGCACAGACCCAUGAAUCAGACAGAGUCAUCGCUCGCUGCUUCUGCUGGCUGACUGAUGAGACUCUGGAACACUCCCGGCCCUGGGAAACUGGUCUGCUAAGACCUGACACCAGAGCCAACCAUCCUGACCCAGUCAUGGCAGAGCCAGAGAGCCUCAGGCACUUGAAGAGAGAAGGGUGAGACUCUGAGCCAUCCAUUGUCAUUAGAGAACAAGCCAGUGAACAAUGCAGUGACCACUGAGUUGCAUUUGUGUGCAGCCAACAGAAGGAACACAGCUACUAUGUGGCAUUUGAAGUCAAGAUUACAGUUUCUGCCACUGGAGCCCCCUCUUUAGCCUUGGUUUCACUUUUCACUCUGAGGCAAGGUCUCAAUAAAUUGCCCAUGCUGGCCUUGAACUCAC